RNAcentral lists this transfer RNA (77 nucleotides) under Clostridiales bacterium. RNAcentral describes it as "tRNA-Arg". It matches the Rfam family "tRNA". Rfam says of the family: Transfer RNA (tRNA) molecules are approximately 80 nucleotides in length. The record is from RNAcentral. Lineage: Bacteria; Bacillati; Bacillota; Clostridia; Eubacteriales. RNAcentral also lists the same sequence under 1 other name.
GUCCACGUAGCUCAGCAGGAUAGAGCGACCGCCUCCUAAGCGGUAGGCCGGAGGUUCGAAUCCCCUCGUGGACGCCA